RNAcentral lists this ribosomal RNA (363 nucleotides) under uncultured fungus. RNAcentral's name for it is "bacterial SSU rRNA". It matches the Rfam family "Eukaryotic small subunit ribosomal RNA", at positions 477 to 839 of the family's 1831-position model. Lineage: Eukaryota; Fungi. The record is from RNAcentral.
CAAUAUAGGGCCCUUUUAGGGUCUUAUAAUUGGAAUGAGUACAACUUUAAAUCCCUUAACGAGGAACAAUUGGGAGGGCAAGUCUGGUGCCAGCAGCCGCGGUAAUUCCAGCUCCAAUAGCGUAUAUUAAAGUUGUAUGCAGUUAAAAAGCUCGUAGUUGAACCUUGGGCCUUGGCUUGGCAGGGUCCUGCUCACCGCGUGCACUGGUACCGGCCUGGGUCCUUUCCUUCUGAGGAGCCGGAUGCCCUUCACUGGGUAGUGUCGGGGAAUCAGGACUUUUACUUUGAAAAAAUUAGAGUGUUCAAAGCAGGCCUAUGCUCGAAUACAUUAGCAUGGAAUAAUAGAAUAGGACGUGUGGUCUAU